UGUAAGCCUAGUAUGUAAGAGAAGCCAAUGGCCAAAAAUCUAAAUAUGACCAACCUUAGCACACAAGCACGCCUUACCCAAAAAUAGCCCUUGCUCAGCAACUCCAAAUCCGAACCCAGACUUGGAUGAGAUAACGCCUCCUGCAGAAUGAGGAGUCUCAAAUGCCGGAGACGACCAAACCACAAUGCCAGAGACCAUCAAACCACGAUGUCGACCACAUCACCUGAUGGAAGUUUCCCCCAAAAACUACGCCCCAAGGAAUGGCUAACGAAAUAGGGCAUAAUAUGACCCAUAACACAGUGGACUGAGAUCCCCGAAACUGAAGGAGUUCCAAAACCCUCACUAGCGAAGAUUGAGUAGAAGGCAAUGCAAGGGACAAAGACUCAGCCAAAACGCCUGAAAGAUGAGUCCCAAGCAAAAGCCCCCAGAUUAGAGAAGGUUCCUUGCUAACAGCUCAAGCAGAAAUGAAAACUAGGCCAUGAUCACCGAAGAAAGGGAAGGAGGGUAGUGCUUUGGCCAACUCACUCUCCUAUUAUAGACUUUAAGGGACUGGGAGCAACAAAUUGGCACUAUGAACAUUCCUGAGAUUACCCUCUCCCGCAGAAACUACCAUCCACAACAAGAAAUACAACUAGCAGAUCAAAAAUACCCUCACCAAGGAGCUCAAGACCUACAACUUAAAACAAAAUCAAAACUAUACACAAACCCACUCAGAAGUGGGAGAAGGGAACUUACAUCUCUGGGCAAAGGGGUAGGCCAACCCGGCCCAAAUGAGACAGCAGCAACCACUAAAUGACAGAGAAGAAAGGACAAGCCUCCAGGCGUAAAAAAAAAAGAAGAAAAAAUCUCUCUCUAAAAAUGGAGAGAGAAGACGCAAUAAAUUAUACCACUUAGUUUGAUGGCGCCAGCAAUAAAUAGGAGAUCUAUUACCUGGUGCAUGAAAAUAACAAUUUUUUCUUGAUAUAAAAAAAUGGAAAAUAACAACUUUCGACAUCAUAUGUGUAUCACAGGAAAAUGAAAAGCCCCCUCCUACCCAAGUAGCUCCGCCAUUGAUGAAAAGAUCUGAUUUGCAGGUGGAAUUUCAGUUGCAAUGACUAGGAUCAUGGAUAGGAAGGAGGGUACAGGGAUUCGGCUCUGAUACGCAUCCUUCGCCUUUACUCUGUAUAGAAGCUGCCUUGCUUUCACCUCUGAUCUUCUCAUCCCCAGCGGAAGGUCUUCCGGUGGCUGCGCGAGAAGAAAAUGCGGAUUGAUGGGUGAAUGUUGAAGGGUACUUGUGUAAAUAUGGAGGGCUAGCAGUGCCGACAUCACCGCGAGAACAAGAGAGAGGCGGUGAGAUUAUUACUAAUAAGAAGAGGAAAA
Molecule: unclassified non-coding RNA, 1359 nt
Filed under: Hevea brasiliensis (rubber tree)
Lineage: Eukaryota; Viridiplantae; Streptophyta; Magnoliopsida; Malpighiales; Euphorbiaceae
Source: RNAcentral